Molecule: transfer RNA, 117 nt
Filed under: Naumovozyma dairenensis CBS 421
Lineage: Eukaryota; Fungi; Ascomycota; Saccharomycetes; Saccharomycetales; Saccharomycetaceae
Rfam family: tRNA
About the family: Transfer RNA (tRNA) molecules are approximately 80 nucleotides in length.
Source: Rfam by way of RNAcentral
GGUUGUUUGGCCGAGCGGUCUAAGGCGCCUGAUUCAAGGAAAACAUCUUUGGCUGUAGAAAACUACAGGAAUACUCAGGUAUCGUAAGAUGCAAGAGUUCGAAUCUCUUAGCAACCA